UAUCCGCAAUUGCCGACAGGUGCUCUAA
This 28-nucleotide small RNA is filed under the name Bombyx mori (domestic silkworm). RNAcentral describes it as "piRNA piR-bmo-1480781". The record is from RNAcentral. Lineage: Eukaryota; Metazoa; Arthropoda; Insecta; Lepidoptera; Bombycidae.